Molecule: ribosomal RNA, 253 nt
Filed under: uncultured bacterium
Lineage: Bacteria
Description: partial 16S ribosomal RNA
Rfam family: Bacterial small subunit ribosomal RNA
Source: RNAcentral
UACGGAGGGUGCGAGCGUUGUCCGGAAUCAUUGGGCGUAAAGGGUGCGUAGGUGGCGCUGUAAGUCAGGUGUGAAAUUUCGGAGCUCAACUCCGAAACUGCAUUUGAUACUGCGGUGCUUGAGGACUGGAGAGGAGACUGGAAUUCACGGUGUAGCGGUGAAAUGCGUAGAGAUCAGGAAGAACACCGGUGGCGAAAGCGCUCUGCUGGACCUAAACUGACACUGAGGGACGAAAGCUAGGGGAGCGAAUGGG